RNAcentral lists this ribosomal RNA (625 nucleotides) under Clostridioides difficile. Its description in RNAcentral is "partial 23S ribosomal RNA". It matches the Rfam family "Bacterial large subunit ribosomal RNA", at positions 683 to 1315 of the family's 2925-position model. Lineage: Bacteria; Bacillati; Bacillota; Clostridia; Peptostreptococcales; Peptostreptococcaceae. The record is from RNAcentral.
UUUAACUGAGCGUUCAGUUACUUGACGUAGACCCGAAACCGGGCGACCUACCCAUGAGCAGGAUGAAGCGAAAGUAAAAUUUCGUGGAGGUCCGAACCCACGAGCGUUGAAAAGCUCGGGGAUGACUUGUGGGUAGCGGUGAAAUUCCAAUCGAGCCCGGAGAUAGCUGGUUCUCCCCGAAAUAGCUUUAGGGCUAGCCUCAAGGUGAGAGAUACGGAGGUAGAGCACUGAAUGUCCUAGGGGGUAUUGCACCUACCGAAGACUAUCAAACUCCGAAUGCCGUCAUCUUAUACUUGGGAGUCAGACUGUGGGUGAUAAGAUUCAUAGUCGAAAGGGCAACAGCCCAGAUCGUCAGCUAAGGUCCCUAAAUGUAAGUUAAGUGGUAAAGGAUGUGGGAUUGCACAGACAACCAGGAUGUUGGCUUAGAAGCAGCCACUCAUUCAAAGAGUGCGUAAUAGCUCACUGGUCGAGUGAUCCUGCGCCGAAGAUUUCCGGGGCUAAAACUUACUACCGAAGCUACGGCAUCAGUAAUGAUGGGUAGGGGAGCUUCCCAUACGGGUUGAAGCAUGACCGUAAGGACAUGUGGACAGUAUGGGAGUGAGAAUGUUGGCAUGAGUAGCGAGAU